This 253-nucleotide ribosomal RNA is filed under the name uncultured bacterium. Its description in RNAcentral is "partial 16S ribosomal RNA". It matches the Rfam family "Bacterial small subunit ribosomal RNA", at positions 524 to 776 of the family's 1533-position model. The record is from RNAcentral.
UACGAAGGGGGCUAGCGUUGCUCGGAAUUACUGGGCGUAAAGCGCACGUAGGCGGAUUGUUAAGUCGGGGGUGAAAUCCUGGAGCUCAACUCCAGAACUGCCUUCGAUACUGGCGAUCUCGAGUUCGGGAGAGGUGAGUGGAACUGCGAGUGUAGAGGUGAAAUUCGUAGAUAUUCGCAAGAACACCAGUGGCGAAGGCGGCUCACUGGCCCGAUACUGACGCUGAGGUGCGGAAGCGUGGGGAGCAAACAGG